AACUUCUGUGGCUAACGCACGUGUCUUCUUCCUUGAAAAAGUCGCUGUAGUUUUUCUGAUCCUGCUGUCACGCACUCUCCGCAGGACAGACAUAGUUUCCUCUUUGAUCGUACCAAGCAUUGGGUAGCUUGCUCUUACCUAUAGAUAUCUAUCUAGGUUAGCAAAUGCCAUAAACACUGCACUGCCUCGUCAAAACAGGAUUUCACUCAAUCGGUCCUUCAAGGGAUGAAGUUGAAACAAGAUAAUAUUCUCAGCUCUCGGAGACGCGGUAAUCGUAUUGCUCUAACUCGCUUCCGCGUUCGCUCCGCCACCGCCUUCAAUUCUGCCCUUCCAAUCAGUUGUUUUAUUUAAGCUGGCAACAACCAACGAAGGAUCCUGCUUCAAUAUACACGGGCCAAAUCUAUGGCGGAGAAACAGAAUCCGCAAUUUACUCCAAUAUCCAUACAUGCGCUUGUCAGCUCGCCUUUUCUCGGCUGCUGGAGAGCCGCCACGCAGACUCAGAAGGCAGACUGUCAGCCUUGAACAUGUAAAUUUAUCUAUUUGCUACGCUCCACUGAAUAUCAUAUCCAAACUGAAAACCGGAGACUCCUAGGUUCCGCUAACUAGAGCCCAAUUCCAAACAUGCAUAGUUCGUUCAACAAAAGCGAGCGCUCGGCCUCUGGCGUGAGAUCGUGCGAGCUACGAAUAGGAUUCCCCAAUCCAGCGCAAGGGAUGAAAUGCGAUCUUUUGCCCGUCACGAAUUUGAGCGGAAUAAGGGGGUUACAGAUCUGGCGCAUAUUAGGUACCUGAUCUCGACGGGAAAAACGGAGUUUGAUGCCAUGCGACGAUAUAUCGAUGAGUUAGCGGCAUGACCGCUGGGUUUGAAUAUAUCCCAUCAUCCACACCAAAUCAACCGCGCGAGUAUCGAAACAUCUUCGUGGGUAAAAGGGCGGAGUCACCCAGUGUACUGAACUAUUUUGACACAAUAUGUGUAUUUAAUAUAUAGCUCUGAUCUGGGUAUAGAUGCCUAGGGACUCAGAAGGAAGAUGCACGGAAGGAAAUACGAUUGAUAAUAGAAUACUGUGAUAGUAAUCAUAGAAAGCAAAG
This 1086-nucleotide small RNA is filed under the name Histoplasma capsulatum var. duboisii H88. Its description in RNAcentral is "Histoplasma capsulatum H88 hypothetical RNA". The record is from RNAcentral. Lineage: Eukaryota; Fungi; Ascomycota; Eurotiomycetes; Onygenales; Ajellomycetaceae.